RNAcentral lists this ribosomal RNA (357 nucleotides) under Triticum aestivum (bread wheat). RNAcentral describes it as "partial small subunit ribosomal RNA". Lineage: Eukaryota; Viridiplantae; Streptophyta; Magnoliopsida; Poales; Poaceae. The record is from RNAcentral.
CGGCUAAACACGAAAGCCAACAUGCUUCACAAGCAUAUUGCCCAAUCAGCUGCUUGCCCCUGUUGUCAAGACCCGCAUGAGGAUGCCCUUCACCUCAUCUCCAACUGUUCUUAUGCGACACAGGUUUGGUCCUCCUUGGGUCUGCCAUCGCCAACCUCCCUUGCUGCUCUGCACCAACACCCAAUGAUUCUGGGCCUCAACCCCAACAUCUGGCCAUCUGUGGCUCUGACUGUUGCAUGGAAGCUAUGGGACUCGAGAAACGCUCUCGUGUUCAGAAAUGAGGAUCACUCCCACAGAACUACAAUACGAAACAUUGUAGCAGAUUUCUCCCUCUGGGUUUUCCGGUUCAAAAAGAAA